UACGAAGGGUGCAAGCGUUACUCGGAAUUAUUGGGCGUAAAGCGUGCGUAGGUGGUUUGUUAAGUCUGUUGUGAAAGCCCCGGGCUCAACCUGGGAAUGGCAAUGGAUACUGGCAAGCUAGAGUGCGGUAGAGGGUAGUGGAAUUCCCGGUGUAGCGGUGAAAUGCGUAGAGAUCGGGAGGAACACCAGUGGCGAAGGCGGCUACCUGGACCAGCACUGACACUGAGGCACGAAAGCGUGGGGAGCAAACAGG
This 253-nucleotide ribosomal RNA is filed under the name uncultured bacterium. RNAcentral's name for it is "partial 16S ribosomal RNA". It matches the Rfam family "Bacterial small subunit ribosomal RNA", at positions 524 to 776 of the family's 1533-position model. The record is from RNAcentral.